Molecule: ribosomal RNA, 253 nt
Filed under: uncultured bacterium
Lineage: Bacteria
Description: partial 16S ribosomal RNA
Rfam family: Bacterial small subunit ribosomal RNA
Source: RNAcentral
UACGGGGGGAGCAAGCGUUGUUCGGAUUUACUGGGCGUAAAGGGCGCGUAGGCGGCCUUCUAAGUCAGACGUGAAAUCCCUCGGCUCAACCGGGGAACUGCGUCUGAGACUGAAAGGCUUGAAUCCGGGAGAGGGAUGUGGAAUUCCAGGUGUAGCGGUGAAAUGCGUAGAUAUCUGGAGGAACACCGGUGGCGAAGGCGGCAUCCUGGACCGGUAUUGACGCUGAGGCGCGAAAGCCAGGGGAGCAAACGGG